AGUAGUUCGACUCCGUGGCUACGAGACGACGCUGGCGGCGUGCUUAGCACAUGCAAGUCGAACGGAAAGGCCGGGUGCUUGCACCCGGUACUCGAGUGGCGAACGGGUGAGUAACACGUGGGUGAUCUGCCCUGCACUUCGGGAUAAGCCUGGGAAACUGGGUCUAAUACCGGAUAGGACCAUUGGUUGGUACUGGUGGUGGAAAGUUUUUCGGUGCAGGAUGAGCUCGCGGCCUAUCAGCUUGUUGGUGGGGUAAUGGCCUACCAAGGCGGCGACGGGUAGCCGGCCUGAGAGGGUGGACGGCCACAUUGGGACUGAGACACGGCCCAGACUCCUACGGGAGGCAGCAGUGGGGAAUAUUGCACAAUGGGCGCAAGCCUGAUGCAGCGACGCCGCGUGGGGGAUGACGGCCUUCGGGUUGUAAACUCCUUUCAACCAUGACGAAGCUUUUGUGACGGUAGUGGUAGAAGAAGCACCGGCUAACUACGUG
RNAcentral lists this ribosomal RNA (490 nucleotides) under uncultured Corynebacterium sp. RNAcentral describes it as "bacterial SSU rRNA". It matches the Rfam family "Bacterial small subunit ribosomal RNA", at positions 1 to 507 of the family's 1533-position model. The record is from RNAcentral. Lineage: Bacteria; Bacillati; Actinomycetota; Actinomycetes; Mycobacteriales; Corynebacteriaceae.